CUCAUCGACUGGCCUGGAAAUCACUGUAGAGACCAGGCUGGCCCUGAACUCACAGAGACCUACCUACCUACCUCUGAGUUCUGGGAUUAAAGGACAAUGAAGGUCAGACAGCUCUUCACUAUGCUGCUGCCUGUGAGUUUUUGGACAUUGUGGAUCUGCUUCUCUUGUCUGGCGCUGACCCCUCUCUCCGAGACCAAGACGGCUCUCUGCCAGAAGAGGUGACGGGAUGCAAAGCAGUUUCUCUGGUGCUGCAACGGCACAGGGCUAGCAAGUCUUGAUCCAAAGGCUGGAAAAACACAGUCUGGCAAAUAAGACUUCAGGGAUGAAAGAAACUGCAAAAAUAAUACUUCUUUACCACCCAUCUUUGGUAUGCAUUGGCUAAUAAAAUCAGUUCUGAGGAACUGGGA
Long non-coding RNA from Psammomys obesus (fat sand rat), 407 nucleotides. RefSeq lists it as uncharacterized. NCBI's taxonomy places the organism in Eukaryota, Metazoa, Chordata, Mammalia, Rodentia, Muridae. The record is from RefSeq and is a predicted model, not a curated record. The transcript has 3 exons.